GGCAUGCCCUGAGCAUGCCCCGUCUUGUCUGAUCUUGGAAGCUAAGCAGGGUCAGGUCAGUUAGUACUUAGAUGAGAACGCAUCUGGAGGGGCAAAGGAAAGAUGUCC
Molecule: ribosomal RNA, 108 nt
Filed under: Nannospalax galili (Upper Galilee mountains blind mole rat)
Lineage: Eukaryota; Metazoa; Chordata; Mammalia; Rodentia; Spalacidae
Source: RNAcentral